GACAGAGGGUGCAAACGUUGUUCGGAAUUACUGGGCGUAAAGCGCGUGUAGGCUGCUUCGCAAGUCGGCUGUGAAAGCCCUGGGCUCAACCCAGGAAGUGCAUUCGAAACUGCAGAGCUGGAGUCCUGGAGAGGAAGGCGGAAUUCUCGGUGUAGAGGUGAAAUUCGUAGAUAUCGAGAGGAACACCGGUGGCGAAGGCGGCCUUCUGGACAGUGACUGACGCUGAGACGCGAAAGCGUGGGGAGCAAACAGG
This 253-nucleotide ribosomal RNA is filed under the name uncultured bacterium. RNAcentral describes it as "partial 16S ribosomal RNA". It matches the Rfam family "Bacterial small subunit ribosomal RNA", at positions 524 to 776 of the family's 1533-position model. The record is from RNAcentral.